Molecule: ribosomal RNA, 714 nt
Filed under: Triticum aestivum (bread wheat)
Lineage: Eukaryota; Viridiplantae; Streptophyta; Magnoliopsida; Poales; Poaceae
Description: partial small subunit ribosomal RNA
Source: RNAcentral
CAGGGAACAACUUCUUGUGGCUCUUUUUGGUGGAAGGAUAUUUGUAAGGUCUUGCAGAAUUUUAGGGACUGCUCCUGGGUGCAGGUCAAUGCUGGGGACACUGCUCUCUUUUGGUCUGAUAACUGGAAUCUUGGCAAUGAAGUUUCUAGCUUGCAGUCUAGAUUCCCAAGAUUAUUCUCUUUUGCCAAGGAUCCAUGGAUUUCUGUUAAGGCCAUCUUCAAUUCAAUAGACUUGUACCAACACUUUCACCUACCUUUGUCUGCUCAAGCUUUUGAUGAGCUAAACUUGAUAAGAAAUAUGUUGGUCUCCCAUACAAGAGAUGACACUUGUAAGGAUUUAUGGUUCUGGCAGGGCUCUUCAAAGGUUUACAAACCUAAGCUGUUCUAUGGUCAUGUUUUUCAGAAUGAAACAUUCAACCACUUGCUGUGCUGGAUCUGGAAAUCCUCUUGCACUAUCAAGAUCAAGGUUUUUGCAUGGAUGCUCAUCAUGGAUAGACUCAACACUAAGGAUAUGGUUGAUAGAAGGCACUGGCACAUGGAUGAUGGUGUUACUUGUAGGCUAUGCCCCCUUCAAGUGAGAGAAACUAGAGACCAUCUCUUCUUCAACUGCAAUUUUAGUGUCAGAGUUUGGAAUUAUUUGCAGAUCGAUUGGUCGGCUGGAACUUCAAUGUCUGACCUAGUCAUCCAGGCAAGGAGAAGUUUUGAUAAGCCCUUU